GAUGAACGCUGGCGGCGUGCUUAACACAUGCAAGUCGAACGAUGAAGCCCAGCUUGCUGGGUGGGUUAGUGGCGAACGGGUGAGUAACACGUGAGUAACCUGCCCUUAACUCUGGGAUAAGCCUGGGAAACUGGGUCUAAUACCGGAUAGGAGCGUCCACCGCAUGGUGGGUGUUGGAAAGAUUUAUCGGUUUUGGAUGGACUCGCGGCCUAUCAGCUUGUUGGUGAGGUAUUGGCUCACCAAGGCGCCGACGGGUAGCCGGCCUGAGAGGGUGACCGGCCACACUGGGACUGAGACACGGCCCAGACUCCUACGGGAGGCAGCAGUGGGGAAUAUUGCACAAUGGGCGCAAGCCUGAUGCAGCGACGCCGCGUGAGGGAUGACGGCCUUCGGGUUGUAAACCGCUUUCAGUAGGGAAGAAGCGAAAGUGACGGUACCUGCAGAAGAAGCACCGGCUAACUACGUG
This 466-nucleotide ribosomal RNA is filed under the name uncultured bacterium. Its description in RNAcentral is "partial 16S ribosomal RNA". It matches the Rfam family "Bacterial small subunit ribosomal RNA", at positions 28 to 507 of the family's 1533-position model. The record is from RNAcentral.